This is a non-coding RNA of Xyrichtys novacula (pearly razorfish), 4305 nucleotides long. The record is from the annotation of a GenBank genome assembly. Lineage: Eukaryota; Metazoa; Chordata; Actinopteri; Labriformes; Labridae.
GUAUUAGGUUUUGGGGCUUUGGAAACGUUUGAGGUUUUUGGCGUUAGGGUUAAAAUCACUGUCCAAAACCUUUGUAGGAACUCUUUUCCAACCUUUUGGAGUUAGUUAGACCAAAAAAAAAAAUGAAAAAUGAAAAAAAAUAUUUGGGGUGUUCGGGCUUCCUGAAGGUAAUACCCGGGUAUUAGGUUUUGGGGCUAGGGUAAGGUUUAAGGUUUUUGGCGUUAGGGUUAAAAUCAGUGUCCAAAACCUUUGUAGGAACUCUUUUCCAACCUUUUGGAGUUAGUUAGACCAAAAAAAAAAAAAUGAAAAAUGAAAAAAAAAUAUUUGGGGUGUUCGGGCUUCCUUAUUAGUAUUAGGUUAUGGGGCUUUGGAAAGGUUUAAGGUUUUUGGUGUUAGGGUUAAAAUCACAGUCCAAAACCUUUGUAGGAACAUGUUUCAGACCUUUGGAGUUUGUUACAAAAAAAAAAUGUAAAAUGAAAAAAAAAUAUUUGGGGUGUUCGGGCUUCCUGAAAGUAAUACCCGGGUAUUAGGUUUUGGGGCUAUAGUAAGGUUUAAGGUUUUUGGCGUUAGGGUUAAAAUCACUGUCCAAAACCUUUGUAGGAACUCUUUUCCAACCUUUUGGAGUUAGUUAGACCAAAAAAAAACAAAAAAUGAAAAAAAAUAUUUGGGGUUUUCGGGCUUCCUGAAGGUAAUACCCGGGUAUUAGGUUUUGGGGCUAGGGUAAGGUUGAAGGUUUUUGGCGUUAGGGUUAAAAUCACUGUCCAAAAACUUUUUAGGAACAUGUUUCAGACCUUUUGGAGUUAGUUUGACUAAAAAAUAACGAAAAAUGAAAAAAAAAUAUUUGGGGUGUUCGGGCUUCCUGAAGGUAAUACCCUGGUAUUAGGUUAUGGGGCUAGGGUAAGGUUUAAGGUUUUUGGCGUUAGGGUUAAAAUCAAUGUCCAAAACCUUUGUAGGAACUCUUGUCCAACCUUUUGGAGUUAGUUAGACAAAAAAAAAAGAAAAAGAAAAAAAUAAUUGGGGGUUUUACGGGCUUCCUGAAGGUAAUACCCGGGUAUUAGGUUAUGGGGCGUGGGAAAGGUUUAAGGUUUUUGGCGUUAGAGAUAAAAUCAGUGUCCAAAACCUUUUUAGGAACUCGUUUCCAACCUUUUGGAGUUAGACCAAAAAAAAAUGAAAAAUGAGAAAUUAUAUUUGGAUUGUUUGGGCUUCCUGACGGUAAUUCCCGGGUAUUAGGUUAUGGGGCUAGGGUAAGGUUUAAGGUUUUUGGCGUGAGGGUUAAAAUCACUGUCCAAAACCUUUGUAGGAACUCUUUUCCAACGUUUUGGAGUUAGUUAGACCAAAAAAAAAGGAAAAAUGAAAAAAAAAUAUUUGGGGUGUUUGGGCUUCCUGAAGGUAAUACCCGGGUAUUAGGUUAUGGGGCUUUGGAAAGGUUUAAGGUUUUUGGCAUUAGGUUAUGGGGCUUUGGAAAGGUUUAAGGUUUUUGGCGUUAGGGUUAAAAUCACUGUCCAAAACCUUUGUAGGAACUCUUUUCCAACCUUUUGGAGUUAGUUAGACCAAAAAAAAAAUGAUUAAUUAAAAAAAAUAUAUUUGGGGUGUUCGGGCUUCCUUAUUAGUAUUAGUUUAUGGGGCUUUGGAAAGGUUUAAGGUUUUUGGCAUUAGGGUUAAAAUCACUGUCCAAAACCUUUGUAGGAACUCUUUUCCAACCUUUUGAAGUUAGUUAGACCAAAAAAAAAAAAGGAAAAAGGAAAAAAAAAUUGGGGGUUUUCGGGCUUCCUGAAGGUAAUACCCGGGUAUUAGGUUUUGGGGCUAGGGUAAGGUUUAAGGUUUUUGGCUUUAGGGUUAAAAUCAGUGUCCAAAACCUUUGUAGGAACAUGUUUCAGACCUUUUGGAGUUAGUUAGACCAAAAAAAAAAGAAAAAUGGACAAAAAAAUAUUUGGGGUGUUUCGGCUUCCUGAAGGUAAUACCCGGGUAUUAGAUUUUGGGGCUAUGGUAAGGUUUAAGGUUUUUGGCAUUAGGGUUAAAAUCACUGUCCAAAACCUUUGUAGGAACUCUGUUCCAACCUUUUGGAGUUAGUUAGACCAAAAAAAAAUGAAAAAUGAAAAAAACAUAUUUGGAGUGUUUGGGCUUCCUGAAGGUAAUACCCGGGUAUUAGGUUAUGGGGCUUUGGAAAGGUUUAAGGUUUUUGGCGUUAGGGUUAAAAUCACUGUCCAAAACCUUUGUAGGAACUUUAUUCCAACCUUUUGGAUUUAGUUGGACCAAAAAAAAAAAAGAAAAAAAAAAAUUUUGGGUGUUUGGGCUUCCUGAAGGUAAUACCCCGGUGUUGGGUUUUGGGGCUAGGGUAAGGUUUAAGGUUUUUGGCGUUAGGGUUAAAAUCACUGUCCAAAUCCUUUGUAGGAACUCUUUUCCAACCUUUUGGAGUUAGUAAGACCAAAAAAAAACGAAAAAUGGAAAAAAAAAUAUUUGGGGUCUUCGGGCUUCCUGAAGGUAAUACCCGGGUAUUAGGUUUUGGGGCUAGGGUAAGGUUUAAGGUUUUUGGCGUUAGGGUUAAAAGCACUGUCCAAAACCUUUGUAGGAACUCUUUACCAACCUUUUGGAGUUAGCUAGACCAAAAAAAAAAAUGAAAAAUGAAAAAAAAAUAUUUGGGGACCCAGGCUUCCUGAAGGUAAUACCCUGGUACUAGAUUUUUGGGCUAGGGUAAGGUUUAAGGUUUUUGGUGUUAGGGUUAAAUCACUGUCCAAAACCUUUGUAAGAACUCUUUUCCAACGUUUUGGAGUUAGUUAGUCCAAAAAAAAAUGAAAAAUGAAAAAAAAUAUUUGGGGUGUUCGGGCUUCCUUAUUAGUAUUAGGUUAUGGGGCUUUGGAAAGGUUUAAGGUUUUUGGCGUUAUGGUUAAAAUCACUGUCCAAAACCUUUGUAGGAACAUGUUUCAGACCUUUUGGAGUUGGUUACACAAAAAAAAUGUAAAAUGAAAAAAAAUAUUUGGGGUGUUCGGGCUUCCUGAAGGUAAUACCCUGGUAUUAGGUUAUGGGGCUAUGGUAAGGUUUAAGGUUUUUGGCGUUAGAGUUAAAAUCAGUGUCCAAAACCUUUUUGGAACAUGUUUCAGACCUUUGGGAAGUAGUUAGACCAAAAAAAAACGAAAAAUGAAAAAAAAAUAUUUGGGGUGUUCGGGCUUCCUGAAGGUAAUACCCGGGUAUUAGGUUUUGGGGCUAGGGUAAGGUUUAAGUUUUUUCGCGUUAGGGUCAAAAUCACUGUCCAAAACCUUUGUAGGAACUCUUUUCCAACCUUUCGGAGUUAGUUAGACCAAAAAAAAAUGAAAAAUGAAAAAAAAAUAUUUGGGGUUUUCGGGCUUCCUGAAGGUAAUACCCGGUAAGGUAAUACCCUAGGUUAUGGGGCUAGGGUAAGGUUUAAGGUUUUUGGCGUUAGAGUUAAAAUUACUGUCCAAAACCUUUGUAAGAACUCUUUUCCAACCUUUUGGAGUUGGUUACACCAAAAAAAAAUGAAAAAUGAAAAAAAAAAUAUUUGGGGUGUUCGGGCUUCCUUAUUAGUAUUAGGUUAUGGGGCUUUGGAAAGGUUUAAGGUUUUUGGUGUUAGGGUUAAAAUCACAGUCCAAAACCUUUGUAGGAACAUGUUUCAGACCUUUGGGAAUUAGUUAGACCAAAAAAAAACCAAAAAUGAAAAAAAAAUAUUUGGGGUUUUCGGGCUUCCUGAAGGUAAUACCCGGGUAUUAGGUUUUGGGGCUAGGGUAAGGUUUAAGGUUUUUGGCGUUAGGGUUAAAAUCACUGUCCAAAACCUUUGUAGGAACUCUUUUCCAACCUUUUGGAGUUAGUUAGACCAAAAAAAAAAAUGAAAAAUGAAAAAAAAAUAUUUGGGGACCCAGGCUUCCUGAAGGUAAUACCCUGGUACUAGAUUUUUGGGCUAGGGUAAGGUUUAAGGUUUUUGGUGUUAGGGUUAAAUCACUGUCCAAAACCUUUGUAAGAACUCUUUUCCAACGUUUUGGAGUUAGUUAGUCCAAAAAAAAAUGAAAAAUGAAAAAAAAAUAUUUGGGGUUUUCGGGCUUCCUGAAGGUAAUACCCGGUAAGGUAAUACCCUAGGUUAUGGGGCUAGGGUAAGGUUUAAGGUUUUUGGCGUUAGAGUUAAAAUUACUGUCCAAAACCUUUGUAAGAACUCUUUUCCAACCUUUUGGAGUUAGUUAGUCCAAAAAAAAAUGAAAAAUGAAAAAAAAAUAUUUGGGGUCUUCGGGCUUCCUUAUUAGUAUUAGGUUAUGGGGCUUUGGAAAGUUUUAAGGUUUUUGGCGUUAGAGUUAAAAUCAG